GGGGAAUUUUCCGCAAUGGGCGAAAGCCUGACGGAGCAAGACCGCGUGAGGGAAGAAGGCUCUUGGGUCGUAAACCUCUUUUAUCAGGGAAGAAAAAAAUGACGGUACCUGAAGAAUCAGCCUCGGCUAACUCCGUGCCAGCAGCCGCGGUAAUACGGAGGAGGCAAGCGUUAUCCGGAAUUAUUGGGCGUAAAGCGUCCGCAGGUGGCUUAUCAAGUCUGCUGUCAAAGAGUGGGGCUUAACCCCAUAAAGGCAGUGGAAACUGAGAAGCUAGAGUGCCGUAGGGGUAGAGGGAAUUCCCGGUGUAGCGGUGAAAUGCGUAGAGAUCGGGAAGAACAUCGGUGGCGAAAGCGCUCUACUGGACGGCAACUGACACUCAGGGACGAAAGCUAGGGGAGCGAAUGGGAUUAGAUACCCCAG
This 420-nucleotide ribosomal RNA is filed under the name uncultured Microcoleus sp. RNAcentral's name for it is "bacterial SSU rRNA". It matches the Rfam family "Bacterial small subunit ribosomal RNA", at positions 356 to 790 of the family's 1533-position model. The record is from RNAcentral. Lineage: Bacteria; Bacillati; Cyanobacteriota; Cyanophyceae; Oscillatoriales; Microcoleaceae.